This 301-nucleotide ribosomal RNA is filed under the name uncultured bacterium. RNAcentral's name for it is "partial 16S ribosomal RNA". It matches the Rfam family "Bacterial small subunit ribosomal RNA", at positions 509 to 807 of the family's 1533-position model. The record is from RNAcentral.
CAGUCGCCGCGGUAAUACAGAGGGUGCGAGCGUUAAUCGGAUUUACUGGGCGUAAAGCGUGCGUAGGCGGCUUCUUAAGUCGGAUGUGAAAUCCCUGAGCUUAACUUAGGAAUUGCAUUCGAUACUGGGAAGCUAGAGUAUGGGAGAGGAUGGUAGAAUUCCAGGUGUAGCGGUGAAAUGCGUAGAGAUCUGGAGGAAUACCGAUGGCGAAGGCAGCCAUCUGGCCUAAUACUGACGCUGAGGUACGAAAGCAUGGGGAGCAAACAGGAUUAGAGACCCGGGUAGUCCCUGUCUCUUAUAC